RNAcentral lists this ribosomal RNA (254 nucleotides) under uncultured bacterium. RNAcentral's name for it is "partial 16S ribosomal RNA". It matches the Rfam family "Bacterial small subunit ribosomal RNA", at positions 524 to 776 of the family's 1533-position model. The record is from RNAcentral.
UACGGGGGGGGGCAAGCGUUGUUCGGAAUUACUGGGCGUAAAGGGCGUGUAGGCGGCCAACUAAGUCCGACGUGAAAUCCCCAGGCUUAACCUGGGAACUGCGUCGGAUACUGGAUGGCUUGAAUUCGGGAGAGGGAUGCAGAAUUCCAGGUGUAGCGGUGAAAUGCGUAGAUAUCUGGAGGAAUACCGGUGGCGAAGGCGGCAUCCUGGACCGAGAUUGACGCUGAAGCGCGAAAGCUAGGGGAGCAAACGGG